AAAUCAUGAAGAGGGCAUUUUCUAAGCAUUUUCUUAAAUCUCUCCCAACUUUUAUAAAUUGUUUGUCCAUCAAAUUAGGGAAAAAAUAUGGUAUCAUUUCUAUGUUU
Dendrobium catenatum is the source of this 107-nucleotide small nucleolar RNA. The record is from RefSeq and is a predicted model, not a curated record. NCBI's taxonomy places the organism in Eukaryota, Viridiplantae, Streptophyta, Magnoliopsida, Asparagales, Orchidaceae.